CAUGGCCUUUUGGUUAAUUAAUUUAAGGUCUAACCUGCCCAAUGAUUUUAAAUUUAAUGGCCGCGGUAUUUUGACCGUGCAAAGGUAGCAUAAUCAUUAGUUUUUUAAUUGAAAGCUGGAAUGAAGGGUUGAAUGAGAAAAUAACUGUCUUUUUAAUAUUUAAUUAAAAUUUUAUUUUUAAGUUAAAAAGCUUAAAUUUUAUUUAUAGACGAGAAGACCCUUUAGAGUUUUAUAUAAUUUUAUUUAAAAAAUUUUUAGUAUUAAUUUAGUUAUAGAUUAGCUUAUAUUUAAUUGGGGUGAUUGAAAAAUUUAAAUAACUUUUUUUUUUAUUAUACAUUCAUAUAUGAUUAAUUGAUCCAUAAAUAAUGAUUAUAAGAUUAAAUUACCUAAGGGAUAACAGCGUUAUUUUUUUUGAGAGUUCUAAUCGAAAAAAAAGAUUGCGACCUCGAUGUUGGAUUAAAAUUAAAUUAUGGUGUAGAGGCUAUAACUUUA
This 492-nucleotide ribosomal RNA is filed under the name Thymogethes subfumatus. RNAcentral's name for it is "partial 16S ribosomal RNA". The record is from RNAcentral. Lineage: Eukaryota; Metazoa; Arthropoda; Insecta; Coleoptera; Nitidulidae.